This is a non-coding RNA of Caenorhabditis elegans, 165 nucleotides long. The record is from Ensembl. Lineage: Eukaryota; Metazoa; Nematoda; Chromadorea; Rhabditida; Rhabditidae.
ACGCGGGGGCAUCUCGCUUCCCUGUCGUUUUCUCCUCUACUCGGUCCCUGCCUGCAUCAAAGCUUUACUUUCCGACAAGUACUCUGGAAGAUUACGGCGCAUCGGUUUUUGUGAGAAGAAUGGCAAGGGAAAAGCAGUGUCUCCGGAAAAGAAAAGGAAACCGAC